CGCGUAGGCGGACGAUUAAGUCAGAGGUGAAAGCCCUGGGCUCAACCUGGGAACUGCCUUUGAAACUGAUAGUCUAGAGUCCGAGAGAGGAUGGCGGAAUUCCCAGUGUAGAGGUGAAAUUCGUAGAUAUUGGGAAGAACACCAGUGGCGAAGGCGGCCAUCUGGCUCGGUACUGACGCUGAGGCGCGAAAGCGUGGGAGCAAACA
Molecule: ribosomal RNA, 206 nt
Filed under: uncultured bacterium
Lineage: Bacteria
Description: partial 16S ribosomal RNA
Rfam family: Bacterial small subunit ribosomal RNA
Source: RNAcentral